GCUUCUUGCCGGCUUCGAGCACGACCUUGCCGCUAUCGGCGUCGAUCAGGUCAUUGAUCGUCGAAUAGCCGCGGAAACGGUCUGCAACGAACGGCACGCGCCAGCCGUCCUUGAUCCGCUUGUACUGGAUCUUCUUGUAGAACGUGGACAGGAUUUCUUCGCCGUCGAGACCGAGGGCGAACAUCAGCGACGUCACCGGAAUCUUGCGGCGGCGGUCGAUACGCGCGAACACGAUGUCCUUGGCGUCGAACUCGAUGUCGAGCCACGAACCGCGGUA
This 277-nucleotide unclassified non-coding RNA is filed under the name Hevea brasiliensis (rubber tree). The record is from RNAcentral. Lineage: Eukaryota; Viridiplantae; Streptophyta; Magnoliopsida; Malpighiales; Euphorbiaceae.